GCACGGGCUUGGGGGGCAACUCUCAAGUUAGUGGCGAACGGGUGCGUAACACGUGAGCAACUUGCCCUACGGUGGGGGAUAGCCGGUCUAACGGCCGGGUAAUACCGCAUAUGGCGCCGAGGUCACAUGACCUUGGUGGGAAAGCGGCCGCAAGGUCGCGCCGGAGGUGGGGCUCGCGGCGUAUCAGCUAGUUGGCGGGGUAACGGCCCACCAAGGCUACGACGCGUAGCUGGUCUGAGAGGAUGGCCAGCCACAUUGGGACUGAGAUACGGCCCAGACUCCUACGGGAGGCAGCAGUGGGGAAUAUUGCGCAAUGGCCGAAAGGCUGACGCAGCGACGCCGCGUGUGGGAUGAAGGCCUUCGGGUUGUAAACCACUGUCGGGGGGGACGAAUACCUGGCUUCGAACAGGAGACCAGNGGUGACGGUACCUCCAAAGGAAGCACCGGCUAACUCCGUG
This 458-nucleotide ribosomal RNA is filed under the name uncultured bacterium. Its description in RNAcentral is "bacterial SSU rRNA". It matches the Rfam family "Bacterial small subunit ribosomal RNA", at positions 64 to 507 of the family's 1533-position model. The record is from RNAcentral.